RNAcentral lists this long non-coding RNA (6105 nucleotides) under Marmota monax (woodchuck). The record is from RNAcentral. Lineage: Eukaryota; Metazoa; Chordata; Mammalia; Rodentia; Sciuridae.
CAUCUACGGCACCCGGCUGGUGGUGCUGCCCUUCCGCAGGGAGAGCCUGGCCGAGGAGCAUGAGGGGCUCGUGGGUGAGGGGUGAGCACUGGGGUCACGGCUGGGUCUGAGAGGCGUGGAGCUUGGUUCCCCUCUGUGUGGCCCACCCUGACGUCCCUGUGCCCCCAGGCAGAGGUCCAGCUUCCUGCCUAGCUAUAUCAUCGAUGUGCGGGCCCUGGACGAGAAGCUGCUCAACAUCAUUGACCUGCAGUUCCUGCAUGGCUAUUACGAGCCCACCCUGCUCAUCCUGUUCGAGCCCAACCAGACUUGGCCCGGGUGAGGCCCAGGGAUGCCCUCUUUGCUGUGGUCCCAGCUGCCUGGGCAGAGGGGACAGGGACGUGUAGCUCCCGCAGAGGGUGGAAGUGGGACCCCAGCCUUGGGGGGUGCUGCGAGUCCAGCUGACCCACCUACUACUCCAGGCGGGUGGCAGUGCGACAGGACACCUGUUCCAUUGUGGCCAUCUCACUGAACAUCACGCAGAAGGUCCACCCUGUCAUCUGGUCCCUCACCAGCCUGCCUUUUGACUGCACCCAGGCCCUGGCUGUGCCCAAGCCCAUAGGUGAGGAGGGCCCAGCAGUGCCCAGUGGUCCUGGGGGGGAGCAGUGAGCCUGCCUACCAGCCCGUGUCUGUCCCCAGGUGGGGUCGUGGUCUUCGCUGUCAACUCGCUGCUGUACCUGAACCAAAGUGUCCCCCCAUAUGGCGUGGCUCUCAACAGCCUCACUAUGGGCACCACUGCCUUCCCACUGCGUAAGUGUAGCUGACUAUUAGUGGGUGGGGCUGUGGGUGGGGCAGGGCCUCCAGCCAGCUUGACACCUUCCUCACAGGCACUCAGGAGGGCGUACGGAUCACCCUGGACUGCGCCCAGGCCGCCUUCAUUUCCUAUGACAAGAUGGUCAUUUCCCUCAAGGGUGGCGAGAUGUGAGCCCCUGGCCCUGUCUGCCCUGAGACCCCCACAUCCCCUCCCCUGCUCAUUCAGCACCCCCCACCCCUGCCCUCCAACAUCCUUCAUCCCCAGCCCUACUCAGCAGCCCGCCCCGCCCACAGCUAUGUGCUGACACUCGUCACAGACGGCAUGCGCAGCGUCCGUGCCUUCCACUUUGACAAGGCAGCCGCCAGUGUCCUCACCACCAGUGUGAGUAGGGGCAGGGGUGGAGGUCUUGCACUGGGUCCAGGUCUGGCCUCCUCUCAUCCACACGCCCGCCCUCAGAUGGUCACCAUGGAGCCUGGGUACCUGUUCCUGGGCUCGCGCCUGGGCAAUUCCCUCCUCCUCAAGUACACAGAGAAGCUGCAGGAGCCCCCAGCCAGUGCUGUCCGCGAGGCUGCUGACAAGGUGGGUGCUCAUGGUGGUGCCCAGGUGCUUGGCCACCUCCCCUUGGUGUAAAGCAGCCUGGAAAUGCUGUUCACCUCUGUCUCCCGCCUCACAGGAAGAGCCUCCCUCCAAGAAGAAGCGGGUGGACCCCACAGUGGGCUGGUCAGGUGAGAGCUGGACCGGUUGGGUGGGGUGGGUCUGGGAGCCAGGGCAAGGCUCAAGUGGGCUGUGUGCGCUACAGGGGGCAAGUCCGUGCCACAGGACGAGGUGGACGAGAUUGAAGUGUACGGCAGUGAGGCCCAGUCAGGCACACAGCUGGCCACCUACUCCUUUGAGGUGAGACUGGGGACAGCCGUGGAUGCCCGCCCCCUCCCACCACCUGACUGCCACUGUGUCUUCAGGUGUGUGACAGCAUGCUCAACAUCGGACCCUGCGCCAAUGCUGCUGUGGGCGAGCCCGCCUUCCUCUCCGAAGAGGUGCCUGGGGCCUGGGCUUGGGUUGGGGGCAGGAGCGGGGUUGGGGCAGCAUCUUUACCCCGACCUGUGCAGUUUCAGAACAGCCCUGAGCCAGACCUGGAGAUUGUGGUUUGCUCCGGCUAUGGGAAGAACGGGGCCCUAUCAGUGCUGCAGGUGUGUAGGGCAGGGGGGGUGGGCACCUGCGGGCAGCACCUGAGUAGGCUGACCCCAUCCCACCCUAUCUUCAUUCCAGAAGAGUAUCCGGCCCCAGGUAGUGACAACCUUUGAACUUCCUGGCUGCUAUGACAUGUGGACAGUCAUUGCCCCUGUGCGCAAGGAGGAGGUAGGUGGGACCCUAGGUGAUAGUGACUGUGGUGGCCUGAGGGCACCUGGAUCCAGUGGUCAUAGCCAUCACAGCUCUCUGUCCUCCCUGUCCUUGGCCCGUGCAGGAGGAGGCACCUAAGGCAGAGGGCCCAGAGCAGGAGCCGAGCACCCCUGAAGCAGAAGAUGAUGGCCGGAGACAUGGCUUCCUCAUUCUGAGCCGGGAAGACUCAACAAUGGUGAAGGGCGGGGUCUGGAUGUGGGCGUCUGGGGUUCCCCGGGGAAGGGCACAACUCACUACGUUACCUACAGAUCCUUCAGACUGGCCAGGAGAUCAUGGAACUGGACACCAGUGGCUUUGCCACACAGGGCCCCACGGUUUUUGCUGGAAACAUUGGGGACAAUCGCUACAUUGUCCAAGUGUCACCACUGGGCAUCCGCUUGCUAGAAGGAGGUAGGUGGGCAAGUGUAGGGAAGCGCGUCCUGGGGAGUAUGCUGCAUUGGCCACCCUGUGCUGACCACCCUGUGCCCACAGUGAAUCAGCUGCACUUCAUCCCUGUGGACCUGGGUGCCCCCAUCGUGCAGUGCGCUGUGGCCGACCCCUAUGUGGUCAUCAUGAGCGCCGAGGGCCGUGUUACCAUGUUCCUGCUCAAGAGUGAUUCGUAUGGUGGCCGCCACCACCGCCUUGCACUGCACAAGCCUCCACUGCACCAUGUAGGCCUCACCCUCUGUGUCUGCCAUCCCUGCCUAUGAUCCCCUAUCCCCACUGUCCCCGACCUACACUGGGCUUUGUCUCUCCCUGCAGCAGUCCAAGGUGAUCACACUCUGCCUGUAUCGUGAUGUCAGCGGCAUGUUCACCACCGAGAGCCGCCUGAGUGGGGCCCGUGAUGAGAUGGGGGGCCGCAGUGGUUCAGAGGCCGAAGGACUGGGCUCAGAGACCAGGUGUGCAGGGGGCCAGGGUGCAGGAGACCUGGGUCUCUGUGGCAGAUUGAGACAUGUCUGUGUCUUCAGCCCUACAGUGGAUGACGAGGAGGAGAUGCUCUAUGGGGACUCAGGCUCCCUCUUCAGCCCCAGCAAAGAGGAGGCCCGGAGGAGCAGCCAGCCCCCUGCUGACCGAGACCCUGCACCCUUUCGGGCAGAGCCCACCCACUGGUGCCUGCUGGUGCGAGAGAACGGCACCAUGGAGGUAGGUGCACACAUGUGGCUCAGCAGCCCUGGCAGCAUGGCAGGCCCUAUCGUCACUGACUGCUGUCCCCCACCAGAUCUACCAGCUUCCAGACUGGCGGCUGGUGUUCCUGGUGAAGAACUUCCCUGUGGGGCAGCGGGUCCUGGUGGACAGUUCCUUUGGACAGCCUACCACGCAGGGUGAGGCCCGCAAGGAAGAGGCCACGCGCCAGGGGGAGCUGCCCCUGGUCAAGGAGGUGCUGCUGGUUGCUCUGGGGAGUCGCCAGAGCAGGCCCUACCUGCUGGUGAGCCCUUUGGUGCCUGCCCAGAGGCUGGGACCUGCCCUCACAGCCCAGCCCAUUCCUCCACUCUGUCCUCGGGGCCCAGCCCCACCUCGUGGCCCACCCUGUCUCACUUCCAGGUGCAUGUGGACCAGGAGCUGCUUAUCUAUGAGGCUUUUCCCCAUGACUCUCAGCUUGGCCAGGGCAAUCUCAAAGUUCGCUUCAAGAAGGUGCAGCUGCUAGACCCUUUUGGGGUGGGUUGGGAGGGGUCCAGGCUACAGGGUCUGAAGGGCCUGGCGUUCAUCAACACCUUCACCAGGUCCCCCACAACAUCAAUUUCCGUGAAAAGAAGGCAAAACCCUCCAAGAAGAAGGCAGAAGGUGGCAGUGUGGAGGAGGGUUCUGGGGCCCGGGGACGUGUGGCACGUUUCCGCUACUUCGAGGACAUUUAUGGCUAUUCUGGGGUAGGCAGGCAGCUUUGUUUGGGCUUGGGGGUAGGGGAACAGGACCUUGCCCACAUGUUCUCACAGUGUCUGUCUCCAGGUGUUCAUCUGUGGCCCCUCACCCCACUGGCUCCUAGUGACUGGCCGGGGGGCUCUGCGGCUGCACCCCAUGGGCAUCGAUGGCCCCAUCGACUCCUUCGCCCCAUUCCACAAUGUCAAUUGUCCCCGAGGCUUUCUGUAUUUCAACAGACAGGUAGGAAGGUUAACUCUGGCCGCACCACAAGCACUGGUACUGCCCUGGCAAAGCUAGGCGCUAGGGACAGGAGGGCUCCUCAGCUGCAGCACAUCCCAGAGGACCAGGGAUGACUAUCUAGAGGAGGGUAGGGCCCAGGAGGUGGGAUCUGGGGCUUGAGGCUGGAGCAGUUGGCAGUGGAGGCCUGGCUGAUGGGGCAUACCCUGAAAGCCCUUGCCUCAUCUGUGACACCCACAUGGCAGCAAUGACCACCUGAGUCACUGACAGACUCUGGUGUUGAGUGCUUCCAAGGGGCUAAUGCACUCAGGACUGGACAGAAGCUGAGGCUGGGGCUGGCAGGGUCUCCCUCUGCCUGUGUUCUUCAGUCCCUGGCAUGGCCAGUCUCAGUCAUGUGGCUUUUAGUCUCUAGUGUCCUCUGGGCUUGGACUCCCAUGCCCUGUGCUGUAUUCCCCAGCCAGAAGGAUGGACAGGAGCCUACUGAUAGAAGGCAUGGGGACUGACGACCAAGGCUACAGCUCUUCCAGACCUUCCCCAGACUCGGUGACCCUAGCCAGGCAGUAGCGAGGCCUGCAGCCCUAGGCCUUGCUGACUAUUUCCACCCACCCCAGGGUGAGCUGCGGAUCAGUGUCCUGCCUGCCUACUUGUCCUACGAUGCCCCAUGGCCCGUCAGGAAGAUCCCACUGCGCUGCACGGCUCACUAUGUGGCUUACCAUGUGGAGUCCAAGGUCUGUCCCCUCCCCCAGCACUCCCUCCCCCAGGCACCCCAGGCGUGUGACACCAUUCAACUCCUAGGUGUACGCCGUGGCCACCAGCACCAAUACACCCUGCACCCGCAUCCCGCGCAUGACUGGUGAGGAAAAGGAGUUUGAGGCCAUUGAGAGAGGUAUGUGCCACCAGGGGUGGGGUGGACCAUGCCCAGGGCUGGCUACGACCACUGCCUCCUUGUCCCUGCAGAUGACAGGUACAUCCACCCCCAACAGGAGGCCUUCUCCAUCCAGCUCAUCUCCCCAGUCAGCUGGGAGGCCAUUCCCAAUGCCAGGUGAUGUUGGGCCCAGUGGGGGCUUCCGGGUGCCAGCAGGGCAGGACUAGGGUGUCCUGAUACAGCCUGUCCUUGUGCAGAAUUGAGCUGGAGGAAUGGGAACACGUCACAUGCAUGAAGACAGUGUCGCUGCGCAGUGAGGAGACUGUGUCGGGCCUCAAGGGCUAUGUGGCUGCUGGGACCUGCCUCAUGCAGGGAGAGGAGGUCACGUGCCGCGGGCGGGUAAGCAGCUGCCAGGUGGGGACAGGCGGCCCUUGGCAGCCUGUCUGCCAUCCCCACAUGUUCCCUUGCCCUGCCAGAUCCUCAUCAUGGACGUGAUUGAGGUGGUGCCCGAACCUGGCCAGCCCCUAACCAAGAACAAGUUCAAGGUCCUAUACGAAAAGGAACAGAAGGGGCCUGUGACCGCCCUGUGCCACUGCAAUGGUCACCUGGUGUCAGCCAUUGGCCAGAAGGUACACAGCUACUCCUCCCUGCUGUGUUUCUGCCUGCUCACCCUGCCCACUCCACUGACCCUUCUGCCCCCUAGAUCUUCCUGUGGAGCCUGCGGGCCAGUGAGCUGACGGGCAUGGCCUUCAUCGACACCCAGCUGUACAUCCACCAGAUGAUCAGCGUCAAGAACUUCAUCUUAGCUGCAGAUGUCAUGAAGAGCAUCUCACUGCUGCGCUACCAAGAAGAGAGCAAGACGCUGAGCCUGGUGUCCCGGGUACUUCAUGUGGUCUUGGGGUACAGGUGAGAGUCAUACUCGGGCUCCUCCUGACACCUUCUGCUCCCUGACAACAGGAUGCCAAGCCUCUGGAGGUGU